AGUGAACGCUGGCGGUAGGCCUAACACAUGCAAGUCGAACGGCAGCACAGUAAGAGCUUGCUCCUACGGGUGGCGAGUGGCGGACGGGUGAGGAAUACAUCGGAAUCUUCUUUUUCGUGGGUGAUAACGUAGGGAAACUUAUGCUAAUACCGCAUAUGACCUACGGGUGAAAGCAGUGGAUCUUCGGACCUUUGGUGACUGAAUGAGCCGAUGUCGGAUUAGCUAGUUGGCGGGGUAAAGGCCCACCAAGGCAACGAUCCGUAGCUGGUCUGAGAGGAUGAUCAGCCACACUGGAACUGAGACACGGUCCAGACUCCUACGGGAGGCAGCAGUGGGGAAUAUUGGACAAUGGGCGCAAGCCUGAUCCAGCCAUACCGCGUGGGUGAAGAAGGCCUUCGGGUUGUAAAGCCCUUUUGUUGGGAAAGAAAAGCAGCAGGUUAAUACCCCGCUGUUCUGACGGUACCCAAAGAAUAAGCAACGGCUAACUUCGUG
This 492-nucleotide ribosomal RNA is filed under the name uncultured bacterium. RNAcentral's name for it is "partial 16S ribosomal RNA". It matches the Rfam family "Bacterial small subunit ribosomal RNA", at positions 29 to 507 of the family's 1533-position model. The record is from RNAcentral.